Molecule: unclassified non-coding RNA, 283 nt
Filed under: plant metagenome
Description: partial contains small subunit ribosomal RNA, internal transcribed spacer 1, and 5.8S ribosomal RNA
Rfam family: 5.8S ribosomal RNA (bases 235-283)
Source: RNAcentral
UUUCCGUAGGUGAACCUGCGGAAGGAUCAUUAUUGUAUAACCGAGGUGCGAGGGCUGUCGCUGACCCGAAAGGUCGUGCACGCCCGAGUGCCCUCACACACAUCCAUCUCACCCCUAUGUGCACCACCGCGUGGGUCCCCCUUUGGCUUGUUCGGAGGGGGGCUUACGUUUUCACACAAACUUUGUAUGCAGUGUAGAAUGUAUUUUUUGUUUUUGCGAUCACGCAAUCAAUACAACUCUCAACAACGGAUCUCUUGGCUCUCGCAUCGAUGAAGAACGCAGC